CCCUCCUCUCUCUCCUCCUGCUCACAUCUCUCCUCCACAUACGACGCCCAUCACACCGGCCGUCAUGUCCUCCUCCUCGAUCGCCGCCUCCACCACGCGGAUCCGGCCUCAAUCGCAUCCCCCUCGACUGUCUCUUCCAGCGCACGUCUAGGUGCAUGGAGCCCGGAUGCCCUCCCUAGACUGCCAUCAAGAUCAGCACCACAGAUGCGUGGCUCGAGGCAUGGGGGCCUGAAUCCGGGCAUAGGUGUCCGAGAUUUGGGCAUGGUCGCCCGGAUCCGAUCUCCUCGCUUGAUCUUCCUUUUUUCCCGAUUUUGACAAAGACUCGAUUCAUACGGAACCAGCUUCUAAGAUCCAGUUGAAGUUGCUUGCUGAAGAAAUGCAGGCAAUAAACAAAUUUACGUUUCUUAACUGAAACCUCGUGGUUCCCUUAGCUAUCAGAUCUGGAGUUGAUCAGAUGGAUCUUUCUCAAACCAAAUAUGUCUGUAGCUUUCAGAUUGGUGGCUCUCUUCAGACAUUUAUAUUUUUAAGACGUUUCCAUGAUUUGAGGCUAUACCACACAGCCUUUAUAUAGAUUUAUUUUUACAAAGUAUGGACCUUUUAAGUGAGAAAAAAAAAAUGUUGUUUUCCAGAUUAUAUGGAGCCUGAUUGGUAGUAAACACAUGUAUUUCAUUGUUUAUUUUCAGAUAUCUCUUUCUACAUUCGCCUGCUCCCCUUGCUUUGAUAGCAGAACAAUUGCAAGCCCAAUAGGUGCUAAUACAUUGUUCGAUAUUCAGGUUAUCAAUUGCUUCAGUGGUCUCUACGUAUUUCAAUAGUUGGACGCUUGGGCCACAGUUUUACGAUCCUUUUACAACCAUUUCUUCUGAUUUUGGUUGUUAAACAAAUGUUGCUGGACUAUGCUGCUGUUGCCAUGAGUGAUCGGCGUGCAAAUGGUCAUCGCAGUGUCACUCCUUCUGCUCCAUGAUAUUUGCCUUCGCUUUGGCGGCGCAUCGACGGCUUGGUGAAUUCGUGUUACGGUGAUUCCACACCAGCUGUUGUUGAUCCUUUUUUUCGUGUCAUCUGUUGAUCAUGUUGGGGUGUCUUCUGCUGUUAAUUCUUCUACAGAUAUUGAUGCUCGAAGGUAGGGUUCCCCAGUGAUAUUACCUACUUAGCUCAUUCCAAUGAAGUCCAUGAUUUUUUUAUCUGACCUGCAACAUCAUAAUUACGCACUACUCUUGUGGUGGUGAAGUUACUCUUCGAAUUUCUCUAAAUACGCUCUUAGAAGAUGGUUAGAAUUGUAUUCUCAAAUUUCGGUAAGAACUCUCACUUUUUAUUUUUGUUUUGGGUGAUAGAAUUAAUAAACUUUCAGAUUCGUGCAGUAAUGUAUUCUUGGGUCUUAGUUACAUUUUACCUAUUAUUUCUAUUGAAAAUACGAGAUUGCAUGUCAAACAUGCUAGGUGAGUUCAUUUGCAUUAUUUUUUUUAGCUCUCUGGCUCUAAUUUCUCAUAUGUAGCAAUAAUUUUUUUUUGAUAUAUAAGACGAGGCAUGCUCUUGCUUUUCAGGUUUUCAAUGUAUUAUCCAACCAACAUCAGAUACUUUGCGGAGCUCCAAGAGACGGUUCCCGUCCUGCACUACAAUUGUUUAUCGCAUAUAGCAAACAUAAUUUAUGGUUGCCAGUGAAUCCAGAUAACUCUGCUUUGCCAUAUUAAUUUUACACUCCACAAUUAUUUGGUUAUUUGAACUACGGAUUUGAAGGGCAAAUUUCUGUAGCAACUUCAUUUAAUUCAAAUAAAGGGCUUAUCAAAACAAGCAGUUAAAUCACACAAGGUUAACCUUAACGCUUGACAGUAGCAUCUCUCUUGAGGCGUGUCAAGAAAGGGCUUAAAGAUGCUUGUAAUAGUUAUUUUGGAUACGUGGAUCUGGUCCUUGCGACAUUGUAUUUUUUAAUUUGCACCUCCAAUUUAUAAUAUUGCUGUUUUAAUUUUCAGAUCUUCGCAAAGACGAUAUAUACAUGUGAGUUUUGUUUUAUCCUCAACAGACUAGCAACAUCGCUGUUUGGCAACAUGCCACUACUGGCUAAUUUGAAAUAUGGCUUCAGAAUUUAGACAAUUAGAAGCAAAAGGUAUGUUGCAGUACCGGAUAUCAUGCUCAAUCUCUACUGCAUUCUGUUAUCAUGUGCUGGUGUUUUUCAUAGCAAUAAGGUUUGAUAUUAUUAUCUCUGGAGUACAACUAUAGUUUAGAUCGCGUUACUACUACGAUAUGUAUGAUUUCUGUUACAUGCUAAUUCUCUGUAGUGGCAUAUUCAAUAGUUUCUUUUCUCUGCUUUGCGUUGGUCUAUGUAGAAGCCUAUCACUUAUCUUAUCUAUCUAUGUAAAACUUCUUAUCGUUGUAACAAGCUCACUUAAUAACAUGCCAUGGUCUAUCUGUAUUUUUUUUGCUUUGCAUUUUCAAAUUCUAGCUUAUUCAUAUGAGCACACAAAACAAAACUCAGCAACAUCAAAUUAAGAACAUCACAAUUACAUUUUUCAACUCAACAAGAUGAAUUCAUAGCUGAUUGAUACAAUCAGCUAUAACAUGCAAAGGAAAUUUCGCAUUUAGGAACUCAGGAAAGAGAAGCAUACCAGCUGGUAGCAGAUCAGCUCGAUUCCCCAUCUCCAGCUCCCCUUCUUCGGGAACUCACUACUUGGCAGCAAACCAUUUCACCGGAGAUGGCCAGCUUCUCCUACUGUCGUAUACUCCUCCACCACCAUCGCUAGCACUGCCACUCUCACUUCUGCUGCUGCCUUUGCCUUGCGGAUGGCGCCAUGGAGUACCUCCUCCCCUCAACCUUCAACUAUACCGCCGCUCGCUUUCCGGGAUCGCUCCUCCGCCGUCCCGUCCCUAAUCAGCUCGUCGAGUCUCACCAAGAAAAAGAUCGAUUACAGCAGUACAGACGGGACUAUGGCUGGCUCCCGUAGUCAGUCCCCCGAGACCACAUCUGGCUCGAGUUCACCGACGUCAAAGUGACAGAAAGUGGCGGAGAACAAGGCGGCGGCAUGAUACCAGGCCGGUGCCGGCGGACGACAGUAAUCUGAUCCUCCCAAUCAGGUGCAGGUAGUUAUAUAGUCCUCCUGAGUUGGUGCCAAUCAAAGUGGCGAGAGGAGAAGAGACCGCCACGUCACACUUCAGGGCAGGGCAAAAAAAAUCAUUUUCAUGCGCUUGCUACUCGAGUUUCAUGGUGCGCGAGAGCACAUGAAUUACCUGUGGCCACAUGUCACCCGCUUGCCGUUGCCACCAUGGCCGAGCUCGGCUCUGGCAUGAGUGGGGCGACGCAUCGACAGCCAUACACGUGGAACUUGCAAUAGGUCUCGAUGCCGCCCCUAUCGCCGCAGGCCCGGAACCGUGAAGGCACUGUUCAAGUAGAUCUCGUCGUAGAGCCGGCCGCUGGACCUGAAUUUUUGGGUCUAUUUUUUCUACUGUGGAAGAACUGCGCACGACCGCUGAAGUAGCUACCUCUAAUUCAAUUAUGGUAUCCGCUGUAGCAGCUACCUCUAAUUCAACUAUUGAAUUUGUUCUGCUAAUGAAUGUUGUGUUGUUCAUAGUUCUCCAGUAGGUAGUGAAAGGUGAAGUUGGCCAGCCACCGUGGGAGUCUCCCGGUUAGCCUGUUGGAGUAGCGGUUGAGGAUGGAAAACCAGUCGCCCACAUUGUCUGAUGUGUCAGCGGGAUCUCUCCAGAGUGGUCAUUGUUGCCGAGGUGCUGUAGCGGGAUGCAGCAUGGAGAUUUUGGCGGAGACUUCUGUUUGCAACGUGUGACGGAAAAAGAAAAGAAGAGGAAUAGACACAUCGAGCCUUGCCUGUGGGCAUCCUCUACCUAGAUGAAGCUGGUGUAACUUGAACAGAUUGCUUAUGCGAUGCCUGAGGAUAUGGAAAAGAUAUGUGGUGGAGAAAAAGAAGAGUGCUUGUACUUCUUCUUGAUCUUUUUUCCCUUCCGGUGAAAUAACCAUGGCAUGCUUCUACGUGAUUUUCACUGAAAUAUUUAAAACGCA
This is a non-coding RNA of Lolium perenne, 4000 nucleotides long. Lineage: Eukaryota; Viridiplantae; Streptophyta; Magnoliopsida; Poales; Poaceae. The record is from RefSeq and is a predicted model, not a curated record.